RNAcentral lists this ribosomal RNA (465 nucleotides) under uncultured bacterium. RNAcentral's name for it is "bacterial SSU rRNA". It matches the Rfam family "Bacterial small subunit ribosomal RNA", at positions 338 to 795 of the family's 1533-position model. The record is from RNAcentral.
CCUACGGGCCGCACCAGUGGGGAAUAUUGCACAAUGGGCGCAAGCCUGAUGCAGCCAUGCCGCGCGUAUGAAGAAGGCCUUCGGGUUGUAAAGUACUUUCAGCGAGGAGGAAGGCGUUAAGGUUAAUAACCUUAGCGAUUGACGUUACUCGCAGAAGAAGCACCGGCUAACUCCGAGCCAGCAGCCGCGGUAAUACGGAGGGUGCAAGCGUUAAUCGGAUUUACUGGGCGUAAAGCGCACGCAGGCGGUCUGUCAAGUCGGAUGUGGAAUCCCCGGGCUCAACCUGGGAACUGCAUUCGAAACUGGCAGGCUAGAGUCUUGUAGAGGGGGGUAGAAUUCCAGGUGUAGCGGUGAAAUGCGUAGAGAUCUGGAGGAAUACCGGUGGCGAAGGCGGCCCCCUGGACAAAGACUGACGCUCAGGUGCGAAAGCGUGGGGAGCAAACAGGAUUAGAUACCCCAGUAGUC